AGCAUAGUUACUCUGUGAUGAAGAAAAACUCAGAAAACUAUCCAGAUGUGGGAAUUUCUCGGGUAUUCCUUGCACUUGAACUUAAGGAUGAAUGAAGGUAUAGACAAGUCUGUACUUCUCCUACAUAAAUGCCUUGCAUGGCGGGAACUAAAUCAACUACACAGACCCAUACAUCCAGAGAGCAGAGGUGAGCUGGAUACAGUGGCUUAGAGAUGUGGUGGAAGGAGCCCAGAGCUCCAAGGGAAGGGCAGCAAGGAGACAACAGCAUGGGUUGCAGCUCAGACAACAGGUAAAUAAAACCAAGCAAAGCUGCUGGUCACAGAUUUGACCAGGGUGGCAAGAAAUGACAAGCUACGGUGAGAUUCAACAGUGGCACAGAAGGAUGAUGAGAAGCAAACAGAUUAGGAGGAGCUGCCACCACCGUAGGCAGAGGCACAGAUGACCAAGCAGAACAGCACCAGUCCCUGCAAGGUGUGCUCAGAUACAGCUCGGCACAGCCAUCUGGCCAGGAGGGAAUGAUACUGCACAUGGCGUGCAUUGCAGCUGGGAAGUUGAGAACCGCCGUGGGCACCUCAGGACCAAGUCUGGUUACCCUGCUGAUCCAAGAAAUGAAGCCAUCUAAAAUUUUGCCUGCUUUUACAGUUUUCUGUGUGUGUGUGUGUGUGUGUGUGUGCGCGCGUGUGUGUAUUAAACAAAGUGAACUAAGAAGCC
RNAcentral lists this non-coding RNA (711 nucleotides) under Pongo abelii (Sumatran orangutan). The record is from RNAcentral. Lineage: Eukaryota; Metazoa; Chordata; Mammalia; Primates; Hominidae.